RNAcentral lists this ribosomal RNA (583 nucleotides) under uncultured bacterium. Its description in RNAcentral is "partial 16S ribosomal RNA". It matches the Rfam family "Bacterial small subunit ribosomal RNA", at positions 355 to 932 of the family's 1533-position model. The record is from RNAcentral.
UGGGGAAUUUUGGACAAUGGGCGAAAGCCUGAUCCAGCAAUGCCGCGUGUGUGAAGAAGGCCUUCGGGUUGUAAAGCACUUUUGUCCGGAAAGAAAUCCUUGGCUCUAAUACAGUCGGGGGAUGACGGUACCGGAAGAAUAAGCACCGGCUAACUACGUGCCAGCAGCCGCGGUAAUACGUAGGGUGCAAGCGUUAAUCGGAAUUACUGGGCGUAAAGCGUGCGCAGGCGGUUUGCUAAGACCGAUGUGAAAAUCCCCGGGCUCAACCUGGGAACUGCAUUGGUGACUGGCAGGCUAGAGUAUGGCAGAGGGGGGUAGAAUUCCACGUGUAGCAGUGAAAUGCGUAGAGAUGUGGAGGAAUACCGAUGGCGAAGGCAGCCCCCUGGGCCAAUACUGACGCUCAUGCACGAAAGCGUGGGGAGCAAAACAGGAUUAGAUACCCUGGUAGUCCACGCCCUAAAACGAUGUCAACUAGUUGUUGGGGGAUUCAUUUCCUUAGUAACGUAGCUAACGCGUGAAGUUGACCGCCUGGGGAGUACGGUCGCAAGAUUAAAACUCAAAUGAAUUGACGGGGUCAUAGCUG